Selaginella moellendorffii is the source of this 497-nucleotide long non-coding RNA. RefSeq lists it as uncharacterized. The record is from RefSeq and is a predicted model, not a curated record. The transcript has 2 exons. NCBI's taxonomy places the organism in Eukaryota, Viridiplantae, Streptophyta, Lycopodiopsida, Selaginellales, Selaginellaceae.
GCUCCGAGGUUCAUAAUACGUGAUCAUGAAGCUGCCUGAGCCGUGUAGCCUUUCUCGGUGGCAAAAAGCUUAUCGUUGGAGAUCGUUAUAGAAGUAUACAAGACGCCUUUUUGUCUAGCUCAGCUGUAUCAUUAUCAUCAUCGCCCAUCGCAUUGGAAAGCUUGGUAUUUUCUAAUCGCUCUCUCUCGGUUCGAAUCCUUUGGCUGCGCCUCGAAACGUCAUCCGACGCAUUCCCGCAUAAGUUUCGAUCACGCGGAUCUUGUGGGGUCUUCUGUUCCAAUGGAUAGGCGAGAACGCGCGAAAGAAAACUCGAGCAUUAUAGCAGGGAGCACUGCAAAUGGAGCGCGUUGCACCCACGAAUAUAACCAUGCUUGUUUUUUAUUUCGUUUUUCUCCCGCUCGCAUGGUUACUAUCUUCGUUUGUGUGCUGUGUGCUGUCUCAAACUGACAAAACAAUAUCAAUUGACUGGGAACUGAAAUGAAACGAAUGAAUGACAA